CUGCUAAUACUCUAUACUCCUGCUUAACACAAGUUGAGUAGGGAAAGUUUUUCGGUGUAUGAUGAGACUAUAUAGUAUCAGCUAGUUGGUAAGGUAAUGGCUNNNNAAGGCUAUGACGCUUAACUGGUCUGAGAGGAUGAUCAGUCACACUGGAACUGAGACACGGUCCAGACUCCUACGGGAGGCAGCAGUAGGGAAUAUUGCGCAAUGGGGGAAACCCUGACGCAGCAACGCCGCGUGGAGGAUGACACUUUUCGGAGCGUAAACUCCUUUUCUUAGGGAAGAAUUCUGACGGUACCUAAGGAAUAAGCACCGGCUAACUCCGUGCCAGCAGCCGCGGUAAUACGGAGGGUGCAAGCGUUACUCGGAAUCACUGGGCGUAAAGGGCGCGUAGGCGGAUUAUCAAGUCUCUUGUGAAAUCUAAUGGCUUAACCAUUAAACUGCUUGGGAAACUGAUAGUCUAGAGUGAGGGAGAGGCAGAUGGAAUUGGUGGUGUAGGGGUAAAAUCCGUAGAUAUCACCAAGAAUACCCAUUGCGAAGGCGAUUUGCUGGAACUCAACUGACGCUAAGGCGCGAAAGCGUGGGGAGCAAACAGGAUUAGAUACCCUGGUAGUCCACGCCCUAAACGAUGUACACUAGUUGUUGGGGUGCUAGUCAUCUCAGUAAUGCAGCUAACGCAUUAAGUGUACCGCCUGGGGAGUACGGUCGCAAGAUUAAAACUCAAAGGAAUAGACGGGGACCCGCACAAGCGGUGGAGCAUGUGGUUUAAUUCGAAGAUACGCGAAGAACCUUACCUGGGCUUGAUAUCCUAAGAACCUUAUAGAGAUAUGAGGGUGCUAGCUUGCUAGAACUUAGAGACAGGUGCUGCACGGCUGUCGUCAGCUCGUGUCGUGAGAUGUUGGGUUAAGUCCCGCAACGAGCGCAACCCAUGUAUUUAGUUGCUAACGGUUCGGCCGAGCACUCUAAAUAGACUGCCUUCGUAAGGAGGAGGAAGGUGUGGACGACGUCAAGUCAUCAUGGCCCUUAUGCCCAGGGCGACACACGUGCUACAAUGGCAUAUACAAUGAGACGCAAUACCGCGAGGUGGAGCAAAUCUAUAAAAUAUGUCCCAGUUCGGAUUGUUCUCUGCAACUCGAGAGCAUGAAGCCGGAAUCGCUAGUAAUCGUAGAUCAGCCAUGCUACGGUGAAUACGUUCCCGGGUCUUGUACNNNCCGCCCGUCACACCAUGGGAGUUGAUUCACUCGAAGCCGGAAUACUAA
RNAcentral lists this ribosomal RNA (1259 nucleotides) under Campylobacter jejuni. Its description in RNAcentral is "bacterial SSU rRNA". It matches the Rfam family "Bacterial small subunit ribosomal RNA", at positions 160 to 1438 of the family's 1533-position model. Lineage: Bacteria; Pseudomonadati; Campylobacterota; Epsilonproteobacteria; Campylobacterales; Campylobacteraceae. The record is from RNAcentral.